CCUACGGGUGGCAGCAGUGGGGGAUAUUGCACAAUGGGGGGAACCCUGAUGCAGCGACGCCGCGUGGGUGAAGAAGCGCCUCGGCGCGUAAAGCCCUGUCAGCAGUGAAGAAAAUGACGGUACCUGAAGAAGAAGCCCCGGCUAACUUCGGACCAGCAGCCGCCGGAAUACGUAGGGGGCAAGCGUUAGCCGGAAUUACUGGGUGGAAAGGGGGCGCAGGCGGGGAUGCAAGCCAGAAGUGAAAGCCCGGGGGCCAACCCCGGGACUGCGCUUGGAACUGCGUGGCUGGAGUGCAGGAGAGGGAGGCGGAAGUCCUGGUGUAGCGGUGAAAUGCGUAGAUAUCAGGAGGAACACCGGUGGCGAAGGCGGCCUGCUGGACUGCAACUGACGUUGAGGCCCGAAAGCGUGGGGAGCAAACAGGAUUAGAUACCCGAGUAGUC
RNAcentral lists this ribosomal RNA (440 nucleotides) under uncultured bacterium. RNAcentral describes it as "partial 16S ribosomal RNA". It matches the Rfam family "Bacterial small subunit ribosomal RNA", at positions 338 to 795 of the family's 1533-position model. The record is from RNAcentral.